UACGGAAGGCAGCAGUGGGGAAUAUUGCACAAUGGGCGCAAGCCUGAUGCAGCCAUGCCGCGUGUAUGAAGAAGGCCUUCGGGUUGUAAAGUACUUUCAGCGGGGAGGAAGGCGGUGGAGUUAAUAGCUUCACCGAUUGACGUUACCCGCAGAAGAAGCACCGGCUAACUCCGUGCCAGCAGCCGCGGUAAUACGGAGGGUGCAAGCGUUAAUCGGAAUUACUGGGCGUAAAGCGCACGCAGGCGGUCUGUCAAGUCGGAUGUGAAAUCCCCCGGGCUUAACCUGGGAACUGCAUUCGAAACUGGCAGGCUAGAGUCUUGUAGAGGGGGUAGAAUUCCAGGUGUAGCGGUGAAAUGCGUAGAGAUCUGGAGGAAUACCGGUGGCGAAGGCGGGCCCCCUGGACAAAGACUGACGCUCAGGUGCGAAAGCGUGGGGAGCAAACAGGAUUAGAUACC
Molecule: ribosomal RNA, 455 nt
Filed under: uncultured bacterium
Lineage: Bacteria
Description: bacterial SSU rRNA
Rfam family: Bacterial small subunit ribosomal RNA
Source: RNAcentral